Molecule: non-coding RNA, 694 nt
Organism: Xyrichtys novacula (pearly razorfish)
Lineage: Eukaryota; Metazoa; Chordata; Actinopteri; Labriformes; Labridae
Source: the annotation of a GenBank genome assembly
AGUAAUAAUCACCAUAUUAAUCAUUUUACAGACGCAGUAGUUCUUCUGCCUUAGCGUCUCAGUCUGAUUGUAUUUCCAUGAAGAAAUGAUCAUAAAUGUUCUUCCUUGAGCUGCGGCACCCCGCUGUAGUCCGUAAUGGACUGGCCUGAGGUCUCACUACAAACAAGCGUCUGCUGGAAGAGAGUAGGUGAGUUGUGUUUAGUCUCUUUGCUAAAGAAAUGAGUCAAAGUUAAAAAGAUGUUUGGUGUCUAGUACUAUGUCUGUGACCCUAUAUGUCCUGUUGAUGAAGUUAGGUGCUGUUCUGAGCAUUAUUUGUGGCUAUAGAGUGGCGUUUUGGUUGAGCGUGUGGCUCUCUGUAUUGCUAUCCUGCGGUCGUUACUAAAGUUGGUAUAACUAGAGAAGCAAGCGGUCGGUAACAUUCAUCAAUAUCCCUUUAAACGGGUGUUUUAAUCAACAGUUUGUUUUAUUUAGCAUCAGUACAAAACUGAAUUGACGGUUACAGGGAAACUCAAUCCACCUUUAUGUAAUGGGAGCAUUAGACGAACGUCUUACAGUAGCUAUAAAGUGACCUCAGUAACGCAUUACUUUUUGGUUUAAGUAACUGAGUUAUUUUUUUAAUAUGAAGUUACUAGAAACUGUAACUAGUAGCUUUUUACAGUAACUAGAAUACUGUUUAUUGUUAAGUGAUAUCCAC